This 284-nucleotide ribosomal RNA is filed under the name uncultured bacterium. RNAcentral describes it as "partial 16S ribosomal RNA". It matches the Rfam family "Bacterial small subunit ribosomal RNA", at positions 333 to 613 of the family's 1533-position model. The record is from RNAcentral.
GAGGACCUACGGGGCGCAGCAGUGAGGAAUAUUGGUCAAUGGGCGGGAGCCUGAACCAGCCACGUCGCGUGAGGGAAGACGGUCCUAUGGAUUGUAAACCUCUUUAAGCGGGGAGCAAUGCCGGGCACGUGUGCCCGGAGGGAGAGUACCCGCAGAAUAAGCAUCGGCUAACUCCGUGCCAGCAGCCGCGGUAAUACGGAGGAUGCGAGCGUUAUCCGGAUUUAUUGGGUUUAAAGGGUGCGUAGGCGGAUUUUUAAGUCAGCGGUAAAAUGUCCGGGCUCAAC